RNAcentral lists this ribosomal RNA (492 nucleotides) under uncultured bacterium. Its description in RNAcentral is "partial 16S ribosomal RNA". It matches the Rfam family "Bacterial small subunit ribosomal RNA", at positions 29 to 507 of the family's 1533-position model. The record is from RNAcentral.
AGUGAACGCUGGCGGUAGGCCUAACACAUGCAAGUCGAACGGCAGCACAGUAAGAGCUUGCUCUUACGGGUGGCGAGUGGCGGACGGGUGAGGAAUACAUCGGAAUCUACUUUUUCGUGGGGGAUAACGUAGGGAAACUUACGCUAAUACCGCAUACGACCUACGGGUGAAAGCAUGGGAUCUUCGGACCUUGCGCGAUUGAAUGAGCCGAUGUCGGAUUAGUUAGUUGGCGGGGUAAAGGCCCACCAAGGCGACGAUCCGUAGCUGGUCUGAGAGGAUGAUCAGCCACACUGGAACUGAGACACGGUCCAGACUCCUACGGGAGGCAGCAGUGGGGAAUAUUGGACAAUGGGCGCAAGCCUGAUCCAGCCAUACCGCGUGGGUGAAGAAGGCCUUCGGGUUGUAAAGCCCUUUUGUUGGGAAAGAAAAGCAGCAGGUUAAUACCCCGCUGUUCUGACGGUACCCAAAGAAUAAGCACCGGCUAACUUCGUG